UGAGGAAUAUUGGUCAAUGGGCGGAAGCCUGAACCAGCCAAGUCGCGUGAGGGAAGACGGUCCUAUGGAUUGUAAACCUCUUUUGCAGGGAGCAAGGUCUGUUACGAGUAACAGGUUGGGAGUACCCUGAGAAAAAGCAUCGGCUAACUCCGUGCCAGCAGCCGCGGUAAUACGGAGGAUGCGAGCGUUAUCCGGAUUUAUUGGGUUUAAAGGGUGCGUAGGCGGGCUGGUAAGUCAGCGGUAAAAAAUGCGGUGCUCAACGCCGUAGUGCCGUUGAAACUGCCGGUCUUGAGUGAGCGAGAAGUAUGCGGAAUGCGUGGUGUAGCGGUGAAAUGCAUAGAUAUCACGCAGAACUCCGAUUGCGAAGGCAGCAUACCGGCGCUCAACUGACGCUGAGGCACGAAAGCGUGGGGAUCGAACAGGAUUAGAUACC
Molecule: ribosomal RNA, 433 nt
Filed under: uncultured bacterium
Lineage: Bacteria
Description: bacterial SSU rRNA
Rfam family: Bacterial small subunit ribosomal RNA
Source: RNAcentral